Molecule: ribosomal RNA, 1440 nt
Filed under: Triticum aestivum (bread wheat)
Lineage: Eukaryota; Viridiplantae; Streptophyta; Magnoliopsida; Poales; Poaceae
Description: partial small subunit ribosomal RNA
Source: RNAcentral
AUGGGGGUGGAGGCAGGCGCUCCUGGUUCUAGGUCGAGGAAGAGGAAAGCAACGGCACGCGAGGCGGCCGCCCCGGCGCCGGCGCCGACGCCUGCGGAGGCGCCCGCCGCGGAACCUACAUCGGAGGACCGUGGACAGCAGAUUCCCGGAUCCGAUGCGGACGGAGGAGGCGCCGGCGUGGAUCGCAUCAGCGACCUCCCCGACGAGGUCCUCGGGGAGAUCGUCUCGCUCCUCCCCACCAAGGAAGGCGGCCGCACCCAGGUCCUCGCCUCCCGGUGGCGCCGCCUCUGGCGCACCGCCCCGCUCAACCUCGACCACCGUUCCUUCUUACGCGACGAGGAGGGCCUCGAUGCCGCCAUAUCGCGCGUCCUCGCCGCCCACCAGGGCCCCGGCCGCCGCUUCUCCGCCCCCGUCUACCACCUCGCCGGCGACCGAGCGGAUGCCUGGCUCCGGUCCCCCGCCCUCAACAACCUCCAGGAGCUCGAGCUGUGCAGCUUCAAUCAUAAGUUACCGCGUCCACCGGCAACGGUGCAGAUGCCGCCCUCGGCCGCCUUCCGCUUCUCCGACACCCUCUGUGUUGCCAUCAUUGGAGAUUGCCACCUUCCCGACGACAUCAUUCAAGCGCUUCACUUCCCUAAGCUUCAGAAGCUCGCGCUUCAGAGCGUCAGCAUAUCCGAAUCCUCGCUGCACACCAUGAUUGCCGCUUGCCCCGCUCUGGAGUGCUUGCUUAUUAAGAACAGUGGGGGCUUCCGUUGUGUCAGAAUCAACUCCAUUACCCUUAGAAGCAUUGGUGUGAGCGGUUAUAGCAAUCGGCUAGAGACCAAAUUUAAGGAACUCAUCAUCGAGAAUGCCCCUUGUCUUGAAAGCUUGCUCACACUUGGUUCAUGCGAGUGCCGUCUUAUAUCGGUAAUCUCCGCGCCUAAACUCGAGGUCAUGGGCUGCCUUUCUACUCAUUAUGGUAUUAGAAUCUCGUUUGACUCGGCACCGUUCGACUCGACGGUUAUUCAGCGAAUGGGUGUUGACCGCCUGACGGCAGCGGUGCGCACUGUCAAGAUUUUAGCUAUCCUUAUGCAUUCUCUUAGUCUUGAUGUUGUUCUUGACUUGAUGAGAUGCUUCCCGUGCUUGGAAAAGUUGUACAUUGAGUCAAGUGGACCAGGGAUUAGCAACCUAUGGCGUCGUAAACACCGGGCUCUUAUAAGAUCACUUGACAUCCGUCUGAAGACUAUUGUUAAUGUUGAAGAUUUCAACGAGGAUUUUUUUGCACAACAUCAUAAGAAGCUUCAGGUGGAUAGUAGGGCCUCAAGAGGUGCUCGGAUUCGUUUUACUACCGAUUGGUGCUAUAAUUACCAUAUGAAGUUUAGUGUCCAUGAUUUGGGUCGAGCUGACCCCUUUGAAAGGACACACCCUUUGCAAGGAGAUACCAUAUUUGAGCUUUGCUAA